This 305-nucleotide ribosomal RNA is filed under the name uncultured bacterium. RNAcentral describes it as "bacterial SSU rRNA". It matches the Rfam family "Bacterial small subunit ribosomal RNA", at positions 335 to 658 of the family's 1533-position model. The record is from RNAcentral.
UUGCCUACGGGAGGCAGCAGUGGGGAAUAUUGGACAAUGGGGGGAACCCUGAUCCAGCGACGCCGCGUGAGUGAAGAAGUAUUUCGGUAUGUAAAGCUCUAUCAGCAGGGAAGAAAAUGACGGUACCUGACUAAGAAGCCCCGGCUAACUACGUGCCAGCAGCCGCGGUAAUACGUUGGGGGCAAGCGUUAUCCGGAUUUAUUGGGUUUAAAGGGUGCGCAGGCGGCACGGCAAGCCGGCGGUCAAAUCGCGGGGCUCAACCCCGCCCAGCCGUCGGAACUGCCGGGCUAGAGUGGGCGAGAAGG